GACGAACGCUGGCGGCGUGCUUAACACAUGCAAGUCGAACGGAAAGGCCCUGCUUUUGUGGGGUGCUCGAGUGGCGAACGGGUGAGUAACACGUGAGUAACCUGCCCUUGACUUUGGGAUAACUUCAGGAAACUGGGGCUAAUACCGGAUAGGAGCUCCUGCUGCAUGGUGGGGGUUGGAAAGUUUCGGCGGGUGGGGAUGGACUCGCGGCUUAUCAGCUUGUUGGUGGGGUAGUGGCUUACCAAGGCUUUGACGGGUAGCCGGCCUGGGAGGGUGACCGGCCACAUUGGGACUGAGAUACGGCGCAGACUCCAACGGGAGGCAGCAGUGGGGAAUAUUGCACAAUGGGCGGAAGUCUGAGGCAGCAACGCCGCGUGCGGGAUGACGGCCUUCGGGUUGUAAACCGCUUUCGCCUGUGACGAAGCGUGAGUGACGGUAAUGGGUAAAGAAGCACCGGCUAACUACGUG
RNAcentral lists this ribosomal RNA (468 nucleotides) under uncultured bacterium. RNAcentral describes it as "partial 16S ribosomal RNA". It matches the Rfam family "Bacterial small subunit ribosomal RNA", at positions 28 to 507 of the family's 1533-position model. The record is from RNAcentral.